RNAcentral lists this unclassified non-coding RNA (395 nucleotides) under soil metagenome. RNAcentral describes it as "partial contains 5.8S ribosomal RNA, internal transcribed spacer 2, and large subunit ribosomal RNA". The stretch from base 2 to 122 matches the Rfam family "5.8S ribosomal RNA", at positions 36 to 154 of the family's 154-position model. The record is from RNAcentral.
UAUGAAGAACGUAGCGAAAUGCGAUACUUGGUGUGAAUUGCAGAAUCCCGUGAACCAUCGAGUCUUUGAACGCAAGUUGCGCCCGAAGCCAUCAGGUUGAGGGCACGUCUGCCUGGGCGUCACAUAUCGUUGCCCAAUGCCUAUUGCAGUGCAAUAGGAAUUUCUAGGGCGAAUGAUGGCUUCCCGUGAGCGUUGUUGCCUCGCGGUUGGUUGAAAAUCGAGUCCUUGGUAGGGUGUGCCAUGGUAGAUGGUGGUCGAGUUAGAACGAUACCGAUCAUGUGCAUGCUCCCCAAAAUAUGGCCUCUAUGACCCACACGCGUCUUUUGACGCUCAUGACGAGACCUCAGGUCAGGCGGGGCUACCCGCUGAAUUUAAGCAUAUCAAUAAGAGGAGGA